UUAUGUAGUCUCUUUAUUUGGUUUAUCUUGAUCACAAUAUGUAGUGUUAGGUCUAGAAAGAUAUAUUGUAAUGGUGAGCAGUUUAUCGAAUGAUGAUGAGUUCUCUUUCUUACAUAAAUUUGAGAUUUUUAUUAUGAUAAACAGAUCUCAUUUAUGAUGAAAGGUGAGAAUUUUACCAAAGGGUGAUGAAGAAACAUGCUUUACCAUGUCCUCUAAUCAGUUCUGGAGAUAUUGCUAUGCUCCAAAAGGAAGCUCCUGUCCUGGGCUACAACUUACUGGCACAUCCAGUCGAUGAACUGAUACUACAAACUCACGAUUGAAAUCGCUGUGGUAAAUUGACCUAUGACUGGUGAUAUAUGGGAUGCAAAGUUUGCUGGAAGAAGCUGAAAAUGGUGCAUUGAAAUGUCCUACAUGUUCCAAUCCAGAACCAUGACCAAGGUACAAAAUAGCAGUGCUUGCAAUAGACAUGGAACAUGAGGAGGAACCAAACCCAGUAUUCACAGAGUUUGCCUUUUUUAGAGCACGAGGAGAUAUAAUCACUGGAAGAAGCGCAAACUCGGCUGUAGCUCAUGGAAAAGGACGAGUUGGUUAGCUGGCACUGGAAAUAGAGGACUUUCUGGAACAAAAAUAUUGUGAGCGGUCACUACAAAUAGUAGAUCCCUGGGCUGAUUUUUAUUAGUAUUUCCAAGUGCAAGCAACAGAUCAUGUGCAAAGUGAGGCACCAUUAACUCGACAUUGAAUGGUUAAUCCGCCAUCUGCAUCGGACGUUCCAUGCAGGGGCGGACCCAGAACAAAAAUGUCCCGGUGUCCAUAUGUGUACUAUACACUGGUGGAUAUAUAUAAAAAUGAAAUACACUCAACAAUUUAAAA
This is a long non-coding RNA of Triticum aestivum (bread wheat), 870 nucleotides long. RefSeq lists it as uncharacterized. The record is from RefSeq and is a predicted model, not a curated record. The transcript has 3 exons. NCBI's taxonomy places the organism in Eukaryota, Viridiplantae, Streptophyta, Magnoliopsida, Poales, Poaceae.